UACGUAGGAGGCAAGCGUUGUCCGGAGUUACUGGGCGUAAAGCGCAUGCAGGCGGUCAGUUAAGUCCAGCAUGACAGUUCCCGGCUCAACUGGGGAAGUGUGAUGGAAACUGGUUGACUUGAGGGCUUCAGAGGGAUGUGGAACUCCAGGUGGAGUGGUGAAAUGCGUAGAUAUCUGGAAGAACACCAAAGGCGAAGGCAGCAUCCUGGGAAGUACCUGACGCUCAGAUGCGAAAGCUAGGGGAG
This 245-nucleotide ribosomal RNA is filed under the name uncultured bacterium. RNAcentral's name for it is "partial 16S ribosomal RNA". It matches the Rfam family "Bacterial small subunit ribosomal RNA", at positions 524 to 768 of the family's 1533-position model. The record is from RNAcentral.